Molecule: small nuclear RNA, 104 nt
Organism: Ochotona princeps (American pika)
Lineage: Eukaryota; Metazoa; Chordata; Mammalia; Lagomorpha; Ochotonidae
Source: Ensembl
GUGCUCGCUUCGGUAGCACAUAUACUAAAAUUGGAACAAUACAGAGAUUAACAUGGCCCCUGUGCAAGGAUGACACGCAAAUUGGUGAAGCAUUCCAUAUUUUU